Molecule: long non-coding RNA, 3506 nt
Organism: Oncorhynchus tshawytscha (Chinook salmon)
Lineage: Eukaryota; Metazoa; Chordata; Actinopteri; Salmoniformes; Salmonidae
Source: Ensembl
AGGAACUCCCCUCUCCUGGUUGUCUAGGUCGAAAGAUCAUCGGUUGAGAAGAUGGUUGGAAACUGAGAUUUUGUUUGAAACUGCUAGUGAGUCGGGUGAAGCUAAUAAUACAGAAAGUGAGAAUACUGGGUUACAGUGGCGAAGAAAAAGGGAAACAAGAGAAGUAAAGCAGUAUUGGAAAAUAGGAAACCACGAGACUAGUAUUUAAUCGGAUUGAGGGUUUUGGAUCAAUACUAUUUAGGAAAUCCAUUUAACGUCUCCAGGAAAAUCUGGAAUGUGUUGGAGGAAAGUAUGGAGUCGGGUGCUAUCUAGGGGGUGAUUUCUAGGGUGGCGCAAGAAAUAAAGGCAGAGAAUACAACUGAAGACAUCGAUGGAGUGGUUGUUGCAAAUCGACUGACGUGUAUGGAGAAGAUAAAUUCAAUUCAUCCAUGCUACUGUUCUUUGAGUCUCUCCCUUCUCAUACGAAGUUACGAUUCAUGAGAUUUCAUAAGAGCUUUUGUGCACAAACCCCUUCAGUGUCAUAAAUGUAAAAUAUUUGGUAAUGUGUCAAGUGUGUGCAGAAGGGAAGAUUAUCUUAUGCCAGAUGAAUGCUGCAACUGUGGAGGUGAACAUGCACCUGCAUUUCUGGAGGGUGGAGGAUAAUGAGGUGGCAAGGGUAAGGAGUGUCCAGUACGUCUCCCAUCUGGAGGCGGUGAGAAAAUUGGAAGCUAUGGAAGGAACGAGUAGCGGGGAAGAAACAACGGCAGUAGAGCCACCAAGACCAGUGAAGUUUUCUCAUCAACCGAGGGAUAGAGAAAUGCUACAUGUUAAAAAGGUGGACUUUGUAUUAUUAAUUGCAAUGGUCAUAAACUGUACAGCACAAGCGGAGAACAAGUCUAAUCAAACUGGUAUUGUGAAUGCUGCUGAAUGUUUUUUGGGUCUAUGUGAUUUCACAGCCGAGGCCGUGCAAGAAAUCCUGAUGUGAAUGUACCGCCAUGUCAGGCCCCUGAGCCUGUGUAGGGGUGUAUUUUAGAGUGGACUGGGAUUGAAGAAGUGGGAUGGGUUUUCUUAGUUAACAUGUUUUAUUUUAAUAUGAUGUAGUUUUCCCCCCUUUUCUGCACUGUUCUUUUAGUUUCUUAUUCAAUAUCCUGUCCAGCUGGUGGUGGUAAUGCAACGUUCUCGCUCUGUCGCCAACCACCGUUAACCCCAUCGAAGACGAAGAGAAGAUGGUUGUCAAUUUUAAUUGAACGGAAAAACCAAAAACUCAAGAGACAUCACUACGGGAACCUGGAUGCAGCAAGGACACGUGCAGAGAGAAGUUGCACCGCAUUCCUAUGAGAUCCAAACGGGGCAUGGAUCACAACUUAGAGGAAACCGAGUGGCUUCGGCCGUUUACUCAAGGGACUGAGGAUCAUCAGGAGGACACUACUUAAGUGUCAAAUGCCUUCAGCAUUGGACAAAAGUCAGAAAACUGACAAUGAAUGCUGUUCAACUGCUUCAAUAAGUGCUUCAGCAGAACCAAAAAGGACUGCCAAAGCCUCAAAGGCUAAUUGAGAAUUGCAACAAAACAAAUAACCUGGACUGAAAGUUUGUGGAAACAAAUAGCCACAAUAGAGUAUUGUUGGACAGAGACUGUAUUUAUUUGUGGAAAACAAAUUCACUCAAUAUGUUUGCCUCCUUAAGUGAUGAGUGAGUCAAGCAGACCACCAUAGUCCCUGGGCCCAAGAACACCAUGGUAACCUACCUAAAUGACUACCGAUCUGUAGCACUCACGUCUGUAGCUGGUCAUGUAUGGCGUGGAGAGGUUGGACCCAGGUGCAGAGAAGAGACCAGAUGAGGAAUUAGUGGAUAAUGAUGAACAUCAAUACUUUACUGAGAAACUGUAGAAUCAGGAUCAAAGUACACUAGAAAAAUAACAAAUCCUAAGCCUCAAACUCACUCAGGAAACGAACGCACACGGUAAACAAGUCAAGCUUCUACAAAGGACCACAGAAAACGUACCUUUUUCAACAGGGACACAAUCAUGAACUAAUAAGACACACCUGAGUCCAAUAAACGUCUCUAGGGCGGUUUCUGCCGCCAGGAGGAACCAUGACAUCAUGGCUCAUAUCAACACUUUCAUCCCAGAAACCCUCGACCCACUCCAAAGAAUGCUGUUCAUUGACUACAGCUCAGCGUUCAACACCAUAGUGCCCUCAAAGCUCCUCACUAAGCUAAAGCCCCUGGGACUAAACACAUCCCUCAGCAACUGGAUCCUGGACUUCCUGAUGGGCCACCCCCAGGUGGUGAGAGUAGGUAGCAACACAUCUGCCACGCUGAUCCUCAACACUGGAGCCCCUCAGGGGUGCUCAGUCCCCUCCUGUACUCCCUGUUUACCCACAACUGUGUGACCAGGUACGACUCCAACACCAUCAUUAAGUUUGCAGACGACACAACAGUGGUAGGCCUGAUCACCAACAGCAACGAGACAGCCUAUAGGGAGGAGGUCAGAGACCUGGCCGGGUGGUUCUAGAAAUACAACCUAUCCCUCAACGUAACCAAGACUAAGGAGAUGAUUGUGGACUACAGGAAAAGGAGGACCGAGCAAGCCCCCAUUCUCAUCGACAGGGCUGUAGUGGAGCAGGUUGAGAGCUUCAAGUUCCUUGGUGUCCACAUCACUAACAAACUAGAAUGGUCCAAACACACCAAGACAGUCAUAAAUAGAGCACGACAAAGCCUAUUCCACUUCAGGAAACUAAAAAGAUUUGACAUGGGUCCUGAGAUCCUCAAAAGGUUCUACAGCUGCAGCAUCGAGAGCAUCCUGACUGGUUGCAUCACUGCCUGGUAUGGUAACUGCUCGGCCUCCCACCGCAAGGCACUACAGAGGGUAGUGUAAACGGCCCAGUAGACCACUGGGGCAAAGCUGCCUGCCAUCCAGGACCUCUACACCAGGCGGUAUCAGAUGAAGGCCCUACAAAUUGUCAAAGACCCCACCCACCCCAGUCUUAGACUGUUCUCUCUACUACCGCAUGGCAAGUGGUACCGGAGUGCCAAGUCUAGGGCCAAAAGGCUUCUCAACAGCUUUUACCCCCAAGACUCCUGAACAGGUAAUUAAAUGGCUACCCGGACUAUUUGCACUGUGUGUGUGUCAUGUACCAACUACCUCAAUUAGCCCAACUAACUGGUGCCCCCGCACAUUGGCUACCCGGACUAUCUGCAUUGUCUCCCGCCAACCCCUCUUUUACACUACUGCUAUUCUCUGUUUAUCAUAUAUGCAUAGUCACUUUAACCAUAUCUACAUGUACAUACUACCUCAAUUAGCCCGACUAACCGGUGCCUGUAUAUAGCCUCGCUACUGUUAUUCACUGUUUUUUUUUUUUUUUUACUGUUGUUUUUUAUUUCCUUACUUUAUCUAUUGUUCACCUAAUACCUAUUUUUCUACUUAAAAAUUGCACUGUUGGUUAGGGCCUGUAAGUAAGCAUUUCACUGUAAGGUCUACUACACCUGUUGUAUUCGGCGCACGUGACAAAUAAACUUUGAUUUGAUAA